This 281-nucleotide long non-coding RNA is filed under the name Cicer arietinum (chickpea). RNAcentral's name for it is "long non-coding RNA (CARI_LNC002820)". Lineage: Eukaryota; Viridiplantae; Streptophyta; Magnoliopsida; Fabales; Fabaceae. The record is from RNAcentral.
UAUCUGUGAGUGCACCAUAAUAGUUGAUUUGCCCUUCUUUCGGGUGCUUAUCUCUUGAACUAGCAUAACUUUUUGUCUUAACAGUAACUACGAUGCCACUGUUUUGAGUCUUUAAGCCUCUUUCGCGGUUCUUUGUAUGGAAUCUAACUCCAUUAAUAAUAUAACCACUAUAUUUUCUCACUAUUUCUAGUGGACCACGUGCAAGCCAUUUGAUAUCAUCUGUCACUAGAGCACUACCUUGCUCUUCCAACCGUGAAACCUACAACAAUUGCAAAUUGUUA